This 563-nucleotide ribosomal RNA is filed under the name Rhizobium acidisoli. RNAcentral describes it as "bacterial SSU rRNA". It matches the Rfam family "Bacterial small subunit ribosomal RNA", at positions 118 to 716 of the family's 1533-position model. Lineage: Bacteria; Pseudomonadati; Pseudomonadota; Alphaproteobacteria; Hyphomicrobiales; Rhizobiaceae. The record is from RNAcentral.
UGGGAAUCUACCCUUGACUACGGAAUAACGCAGGGAAACUUGUGCUAAUACCGUAUGUGUCCUUCGGGAGAAAGAUUUAUCGGUCAAGGAUGAGCCCGCGUUGGAUUAGCUAGUUGGUGGGGUAAAGGCCUACCAAGGCGACGAUCCAUAGCUGGUCUGAGAGGAUGAUCAGCCACAUUGGGACUGAGACACGGCCCAAACUCCUACGGGAGGCAGCAGUGGGGAAUAUUGGACAAUGGGCGCAAGCCUGAUCCAGCCAUGCCGCGUGAGUGAUGAAGGCCCUAGGGUUGUAAAGCUCUUUCACCGGAGAAGAUAAUGACGGUAUCCGGAGAAGAAGCCCCGGCUAACUUCGUGCCAGCAGCCGCGGUAAUACGAAGGGGGCUAGCGUUGUUCGGAAUUACUGGGCGUAAAGCGCACGUAGGCGGAUCGAUCAGUCAGGGGUGAAAUCCCAGGGCUCAACCCUGGAACUGCCUUUGAUACUGUCGAUCUGGAGUAUGGAAGAGGUGAGUGGAAUUCCGAGUGUAGAGGUGAAAUUCGUAGAUAUUCGGAGGAACACCAGUGGC